UACGUAGGGCGCGAGCGUUGUCCGGAAUUAUUGGGCGUAAAGAGCCCGUAGGCGGCCUGUCGCGUCAAUUGUGAAAGCCCGGGGCUCAACCCCGGGUCUGCAGUCGAUACGGGCAGGCUAGAGUUCGGUAGGGGAGAUCGGAAUUCCUGGUGUAGCGGUGAAAUGCGCAGAUAUCAGGAGGAACACCGGUGGCGAAGGCGGAUCUCUGGGCCGACACUGACGCUGAGGAGCGAAAGCGUGGGGAGCAAACAGG
This 253-nucleotide ribosomal RNA is filed under the name uncultured bacterium. Its description in RNAcentral is "partial 16S ribosomal RNA". It matches the Rfam family "Bacterial small subunit ribosomal RNA", at positions 524 to 776 of the family's 1533-position model. The record is from RNAcentral.